AUAUAAAGAAACUGAAAUUCACCAGAUCAUUCCAUCUGGAGAAUGAGACCACAGCCUCCUCACUCAUCUUGAUUGCCAAACGAAUCACACGUUGCCUGCUGACCAACUACUCGUCCUUACCCCUCCCUAAUUGCUGUUUUUCUGCAGGUGAAACUCUAAAAUCUAUCAUAUGGAAUUAGUCAUGGUUCCCUCCACUACCAUUCACCUGAAAAUAUUGACAUUUAUCCACCUACAUAAUCAAGUCCUAGAACCUGAAAAAAAAUCUCAUUAUCCCAUGCCACAUCUCAGGUAAUAGCUAAGGAUGAUUGUUAUUUACUUAAUAAAAUGUGUGGGUACCUUUUUUCUGGGCAACGUUUUCCGAAUUAGCUUUCUGCUCAAUAUUAUAUUUACUUGAACUACAAUACCAUUGGCCUUUGUUAAAUUGCAUAGAAAUGCAUCAUGUUGAACCUAUUUGCAGUAACUAUAUGUCUUCGGAGCAUACCGCAAUUCCAGGAAGAAAAUGUGAGAAAUCUUCUCUGGAAUGAGAGCCCAGGACUUGGCUGCCAGUAACUGCUGCAGGAGAAACAGCCUUCUCUCCCCUGCGUUUGUGUUUCCAGCAUCCCGGCCUCCCUCCACACUCUGUUACUUCCCUGGUGGAAGAGGGAGAGGAUUAUCUGAGUGGGAAGUUCAGAGAGAAGAAGCUGGCAGGCAUGGUUAAUCCCUUCACUCCUUUCUCUGGGAUUCACCUCUCUGCAAGCUGUUUCUUCUUGACUCUUGGCUUUUGUGCAUUUACAAUAAGACCCCAGGCUCCAGGAAGGGAGCCCGGUGGUAGCACAGACACCUAUGGCUGGGAGGAUGGGUCUCCUAGUUCUAGGGCUCAUUGUUCAGAAGUCCCUAGUACUGCAGUCCUCAGCCAUAUCUUCCCCCAUAGCAGUAAUAAGGCUGAUAUUUUUAUCUCCCUCUACCAAACCUCUGCAUUUAUCUCUUAGGUGGUUCCAAGUCUGAGUGAGUGAGUGUCACUGGUUUUCUUUAAGUCCUCACAGGAAUCCAAGAUCAAGAAUAAAUGUGUUGAAAGAAAUUAAAAUAUUAGCAUCGUAUAUACUUAAAGAUUCAAGAUUCACUUGAUCUACUUAAUUGAAUAUUAGCAAAGAUAAAAGACACGUUCUCAUUUUUCUUCUCUUUGAAGCCUCAUAUAUUCAUGCUUGGGGGCUCAGGAGGCUAAAACAUACUGAGAAUAUACACAUCUGUCUUCCCAAAUCUCUCCUCAAUUUUCACAAAACAUGUUUAAAAACUAUUAAUCUUGUAAACAAAAAAUAUUUGGUUUACUCUUAUAUUUAGAAAACUCUAAAUGUCAAGGAAGCAAAAGUUACAGGUGUGGAAUGCACUACCCUUAAAUUUAGGGUGAACAGGUGAUGGCAGCUGCCACCUGUGGGUUGCAGGGAGUUGACUGUGUGGACUCUUGCUCAUGAUGGCCUGUGAGUAUUCACCUAACACUAUCUGAUAGCAAUAUUUUACAGAAAUUGUCAAAUGCCUCUAGUUUCUUUGCAACAGUCUUAAAGUAAUAAGUGGCCAGACAAUAGAUUAUAAAAUAUAGGGAUGCAUCCCUCUCAAGUUCAGGUCAGGUAUUGUCUACCCCCAGCCCUAGACUAUGGGGCCCUGGAAGGUAAAUUCUCCUUCUUAUUAUUAGCUUUGUUAUCAGAUUGCCUCACAGUACUUAUGUAUAGCUGGCAAUAAAUAUUGCCUAAAACAACAUAAUUGGAUAAUCUGCUAAUGGUAAACAUGAGUCUCAAUAAGAGAACAGAAAAAGUAAGACGAUCUGUUGAGCUUUCUUGUGAGCUAUAUGGUGAAUAAAGUGUUUCUAAUGGUUUCGUGUCUUUUAGAUUUCAGGAUAAAUAGGUGCAUAUGAAUCAGCUGAUUUCUGUUACUGGAGUGCAGUAGUAGUACAGAUUUCCCAAGCUUUGAAUCAACAAACGCAGAAGUCUCUCUAACAUUAGGCCCCUUCCCACUUGUUAUUUUGUUGUUCAUUGCUAUGGGUUACCACAUCUCAUUCUGGAGAAAACAAAGCAGGUUUUCCAAAGUCAGGAAAUCUUACACAUCUUUCCAGAGAAGACCUUAUAUUCGACCCCAUCUCAGUUUCCUCGCCUAACGUAGGAAGCAGGAGACUUCUCCAGUGUCACAAAGCUGAUCAGGCAUGAAAACUGAGUCUCUUAACUCACACACUAGAGUUUUUUGUUUAGCAGUUGUGACCUGGGGUAGACGCUCACUGCAUGUAUUGCCUUUAAGAUGCCUGCUUUUGCACAAUUCACAAUUGCAAAGAUAGGGAACCAACCUAAUCGGCGAUCCACUGAUGAGCGGUAACGAAAAUAUGGUACAUACACACUAUGGAUACUAUUCAGUUAUAAAAAAAGAAUGAAAUGAUGUCUUCUGCAGUAACUUGGAGGGAACUGGAGGCUAUUUUUCUAAAUGAAGUAACUUGGGAAAGGAAAACCAAACACUGCAUGGGAGCUAAGCCAUGGGCAUGCAAGGGCAUACGGGGUGGUUAAUGAACAUUGGAGACCCAGAAGCGUGGAGGGCGGGGGUUAGGGAGAAAAACUACAUAUUGGGUACAGUAUAUACCACUAGGGUGACAGUGGUAUAUGCACUAAAAUUUCAGACUUUAC
This 2639-nucleotide long non-coding RNA is filed under the name Homo sapiens (human). RNAcentral's name for it is "HSALNT0158078". The record is from RNAcentral. Lineage: Eukaryota; Metazoa; Chordata; Mammalia; Primates; Hominidae.